This 397-nucleotide RNase P RNA is filed under the name Planctomycetota bacterium. RNAcentral's name for it is "Planctomycetes bacterium RNase P RNA component class A". It matches the Rfam family "Bacterial RNase P class A". From Rfam's summary of the family: Ribonuclease P (RNase P) is a ubiquitous endoribonuclease, found in archaea, bacteria and eukarya as well as chloroplasts and mitochondria. Its best characterised activity is the generation of mature 5'-ends of tRNAs by cleaving the 5'-leader elements of precursor-tRNAs. The record is from RNAcentral. Lineage: Bacteria; Pseudomonadati; Planctomycetota.
CGAGUCGCACGGACGGCCGCUGCUCGUCUCGCCUUCGGGUGGGGCGGGGAGAGGAAAGUCCGGGCUCCACAGGGCACGGUGGUGGGUAACGCCCACCGGCCGCAAGGCCAGAGCCAGUGCAACAGAGAACAGACCGCCUCGGCGCCGGCUCGUCCGGUGCCGCGGUAAGGGUGAAACGGUGCGGUAAGAGCGCACCAGCGGGGCGGGCAACCGUUCCGGCUUGGUAAACCUCACCGGGAGAAAGCCCGCAUAGGGAGGGAUGACGCGGCCCGCGUCGCUAGAACCUCCGGGUAGGGCGUUUGAGGCCGUCGGCGACGGCGGCCCUAGAGACAUGGUCGUCGCCGGCCGCCGUUCGCGGUGGUCGGACACAGAACCCGGCUUAUGGGCGGCUCGGAGU